This 424-nucleotide ribosomal RNA is filed under the name uncultured Planctomyces sp. Its description in RNAcentral is "partial 16S ribosomal RNA". It matches the Rfam family "Bacterial small subunit ribosomal RNA", at positions 355 to 774 of the family's 1533-position model. Lineage: Bacteria; Pseudomonadati; Planctomycetota; Planctomycetia; Planctomycetales; Planctomycetaceae. The record is from RNAcentral.
UCGAGAAUCUUCGGCAAUGGGCGAAAGCCUGACCGAGCGACGCCGCGUGCGGGAUGAAGGUCUUCGGAUUGUAAACCGCUGUCGGAGGGGAUGAAGUGUAGGGGGGUACUCCCCCUUAUUUGACAGAGCCUCGGAGGAAGCACGGGCUAAGUUCGUGCCAGCAGCCGCGGUAAUACGAACUGUGCGAACGUUAUUCGGAAUCACUGGGCUUAAAGGGUGCGUAGGCGGCGGCACAAGUCAGGUGUGAAAUCCCCCGGCUCAACCGGGGAACAGCGCUUGAAACUAGGUCGCUCGAGCGAGGCAGGGGUGUAUGGAACUUCCGGUGGAGCGGUGAAAUGUGUAGAUAUCGGAAGGAACGCCGGCGGCGAAAGCGGUACACUGGGCCUUGUCUGACGCUGAGGCACGAAAGCUAGGGGAGUGAACG